UGGCGGACGGGUGAGUAACACGUGAGAAUCUGCCAACAGGACGGGGACAACAGGGGGAAACCGCUGCUAAGACCCGAUAAACCGAAAGGGGAAAAAGAAAUUGCCAGUUGAUGAGCUCGCGUCGGAUUAGCUAGUUGGUAGUGUAAGGGACUACCAAGGCGACGAUCCGUAGCCGGUCUGAGAGGACGAUCGGCCACACUGGGACUGAGACACGGCCCAGACUCCUACGGGAGGCAGCAGUGGGGAAUUUUCCGCAAUGGGCGAAAGCCUGACGGAGCAAGACCGCGUGAGGGAGGAAGGCUCUUGGGUUGUAAACCUCUUUUCUCUGGGAAGAACAAAAUGACGGUACCAGAGGAAUCAGCAUCGGCUAACUCCGUGCCAGCAGCCGCGGUAAU
RNAcentral lists this ribosomal RNA (395 nucleotides) under uncultured bacterium. RNAcentral's name for it is "bacterial SSU rRNA". It matches the Rfam family "Bacterial small subunit ribosomal RNA", at positions 96 to 524 of the family's 1533-position model. The record is from RNAcentral.